This 563-nucleotide ribosomal RNA is filed under the name uncultured bacterium. RNAcentral's name for it is "bacterial SSU rRNA". It matches the Rfam family "Bacterial small subunit ribosomal RNA", at positions 8 to 572 of the family's 1533-position model. The record is from RNAcentral.
AGGGUUUGAUCCUGGCUCAGGAUGAACGCUAGCGGCAGGCCUAACACAUGCAAGUCGAGGGGUAGUUACUUUCGGGUAAUGAGACCGGCGCACGGGUGCGUAACGCGUAUGCAAUCUACCUUUUACAGGGGAAUAGCCCAGAGAAAUUUGGAUUAAUGCCCCAUAGUAUGUAUGAAUCGCAUGGUUUAUACAUUAAAGUUCCAACGGUAAAAGAUGAGCAUGCGUCCCAUUAGUUAGUUGGUAAGGUAACGGCUUACCAAGACGAUGAUGGGUAGGGGUCCUGAGAGGGAGAUCCCCCACACUGGUACUGAGACACGGACCAGACUCCUACGGGAGGCAGCAGUGAGGAAUAUUGGACAAUGGGCGCAAGCCUGAUCCAGCCAUGCCGCGUGCAGGAAGAAGCAUCUAUGGUGUGUAAACUGCUUUUGUACGGGAAGAAACACUCCUACGUGUAGGAGCUUGACGGUACCGUAAGAAUAAGGAUCGGCUAACUCCGUGCCAGCAGCCGCGGUAAUACGGAGGAUCCAAGCGUUAUCCGGAAUCAUUGGGUUUAAAGGGUCCGU